Molecule: regulatory RNA element, 104 nt
Organism: Chloroherpeton thalassium ATCC 35110
Lineage: Bacteria; Pseudomonadati; Chlorobiota; Chlorobiia; Chlorobiales; Chloroherpetonaceae
Rfam family: TPP riboswitch aptamer (THI element)
About the family: Vitamin B(1) in its active form thiamin pyrophosphate (TPP) is an essential coenzyme that is synthesised by coupling of pyrimidine and thiazole moieties in bacteria. The previously detected thiamin-regulatory element, thi box was extended, resulting in a new, highly conserved RNA secondary structure, the THI element, which is widely distributed in eubacteria and also occurs in some archaea.
Source: Rfam
AGAUUUCAUCCGGGGUGCUGCGCCCCUCUGGCGUGGCUGAGAUUAGACCCGUUUAACUUGAUGCAGGUAAUUCUGACGCAAGGAUGCGAUGAAAUGCCGUUUGU